UCCGGCUUGUCGCCGGCGGUCCCUCUAGAGUGCUCAACUAAAUGGUAGCAACUAAAGACGAGGGUUGCGCUCGUUGCGGGACUUAACCCAACAUCUCACGACACGAGCUGACGACAGCCAUGCAGCACCUGUGUGUAGGCCCCGUAAGGGGAGGAAUCCAUCUCUGGAAACCGUCCUACCAUGUCAAACGCUGGUAAGGUUCUUCGCGUUGCGUCGAAUUGAACCACAUGCUCCACCGCUUGUGCGGGCCCCCGUCAAUUCCUUUGAGUUUCAGCCUUGCGACUGUACUCCCCAGGCGGCAUAUUUAACGCGUUAGCUCCGGCACGGAUCAACUGAAUGACCCACGCCAAAUAUGCAUCGUUUAGGGCGUGGACUAC
This 377-nucleotide unclassified non-coding RNA is filed under the name uncultured Bryobacterales bacterium. RNAcentral's name for it is "contains 16S-23S intergenic spacer region". Lineage: Bacteria; Pseudomonadati; Acidobacteriota; Terriglobia; Bryobacterales. The record is from RNAcentral.